RNAcentral lists this ribosomal RNA (431 nucleotides) under uncultured bacterium. RNAcentral's name for it is "partial 16S ribosomal RNA". It matches the Rfam family "Bacterial small subunit ribosomal RNA", at positions 338 to 795 of the family's 1533-position model. The record is from RNAcentral.
CCUACGGGUGGCAGCAGUAGGGAAUAUUGCGCAAUGGGGGAAACCCUGACGCAGCGACGCCGCGUGAGUGAUGAAGGCCUUCGGGUCGUAAAGCUCUGUUGUAUGGAAAACGGUACCAUAUAAGAAAGGAUCGGCUAACUUCGUGCCAGCAGCCGCGGUAAGACGAGGGAUCCUAGCGUUGUUCGGAAUCAUUGGGCGUAAAGAGUAUGUAGGCGGCUUUGUAAGUCAGUUGUGAAAUCCCCGGGCUCAACCCGGGAAGUGCAAAUGAUACUGCUAAGCUUGAAUUUGGAAGAGGGUAGUGGAAUUCCUGGUGUAGUGGUGAAAUACGUAGAUAUCAGGAGGAACACCGGUGGCGAAGGCGGCUACCUGGUCUAAUUGACGCUGAGAUACGAAAGCAUGGGGAUCAAACAGGAUUAGAUACCCUUGUAGUC